Meleagris gallopavo (turkey) is the source of this 1359-nucleotide non-coding RNA. The record is from RefSeq and is a predicted model, not a curated record. Lineage: Eukaryota; Metazoa; Chordata; Aves; Galliformes; Phasianidae.
GUGAUUCACAUCUCUGCGUGUUUCGGUCCCCCCGUAGCUGCACAGUGAAAUCCAUGCAGAUUUAGUGUACUUCCGAACACAGUCCCCCCCCACUCAUCUUCCAUGACUGAUCUCCUCGAUUGAAUCAUGUUUAUUUUAGUUUAUCUCAGCUUUAGGAAGUCGCAGCUUUGCCUACAGCGGAGUCCUAACAGGAUGAAAGGUGAAGCUCCCCACGUGGGAAGCCGCAGGAUGGGACGGGGCAGGGCUGGCUUCGGGUCCCAUGCACUGAACGCGUUCCCUCGGCAACGGCAAAGCCAGCGUGCAGUGGGAACGUUUGCACUGGAGCACGUCCCUCGGUGCAGGGCGGCACAGCUCCAAGUGCACGGGGCUCUUCUGUGCUGAGCAGAUCCCAGAACAGAACUGUGCGAUCCUUUGGGUUGGAGAAGACCUCUGAGAGCUCCGAGCACAACCCACGUCCCCAGCGCCGCAUCUCCACGGCUGUGGAGCACGUCCAGGGAAGGGUUCUGCGCCGCUCCCCGCGCAGCCCGUUCCCAACCGCCGUUCUUCAUCCUGACCAACAAACCGGAUCCGGGAGCGGCGGUUUCGGCUCCGUCCUUUGUCACACCCUCUGCUGGACACGGGAGGCGACGCAGGGGCUGCUCUGCGCCAACAGCCGCGGCUGAGCUGCUCCUCGUGCGAUCUCCCUUUGCAGUUUGGAACGUUUUUGUGCCUUUUCCUAACGCCGAAACAGUUCGGCAAUUAGCCCCGAUUUCAGAAAAUUCUGAAAAUCGCUGCAACACGCAGAAACCGGCCCCGUUUCCUUUCAUGUUGCUCCUUGAGAGCUAGCAAGCGUUCAGUGUGAAAUUUCCCCCCUUCUUAAGAGCCAUCCUCUGAGCACAAAGAUGAUGCGCACCUCCAGCCGUCCUUCACUUCGAGUGGCAUGCAGUCCUUAAAUGAAAAUCACAUUGCAGAGCUCAGUGAGAAGUGGUAUUGAAUUAUUGCAUUACAGGGCAGCCUGUAGCAUGAGUACUCCCUCUCCUUCAGGAAGAACAGAAGAACAAUGAAACGAGGGGGAAAAAAGGAAAGAUGCAAUAAGACAGACUUUCAUGUAGAUGUUUUUAAAGAAUCACAGAAUGCAUUCCUUCCAUCUUCUGCAAAGUCAAGGAGCAUUUCAAAAGCAUCCACACAGCCACACGUCCGGGAAUAUUGAGGCUCAUACCUCUCCUCCAUUGAUCUCUAAUUCUGCGAUUAUCCAAUGAAAAAUACCAAUAGCAAUAAAACAGAGAACGAGAUGUGCCACAGACAGUCUUCAAACGGAUGGCUUGGCGAGUGAGAGGAGGAAAUGAAGCACUUAAAUCUCUCAUCAGAUGUUCUGAAAAU